UACCGGGAGCCCGGGUAGGCACCGGAGCCCUCGCAGGGACCAGAGCCCGAUCAGGUUACAGAGCCCGGUAUAUCUGAAGAAAAAGACAUAAAAGUUUUGUGAUUGAGAAAAUAAGAGCAAAGCCAAGACUCCUAUUUACCUCAUUAUGUUGCUCUCUUAAGAUGAUGAUAUUUCACCACUGUUGUCACUUUACAGACCACUGGUC
Molecule: long non-coding RNA, 205 nt
Filed under: Lepidothrix coronata (blue-crowned manakin)
Lineage: Eukaryota; Metazoa; Chordata; Aves; Passeriformes; Pipridae
Description: lncRNA (ENSLCOG00000007637.1)
Source: RNAcentral